AGCUCAGACACGGAGAACUGCAGCUUCCAAUGAUCUCAUUAGUGGGUUGCUGGUCCCCAGCAGGCUGAGCGUCUUUCUGGAUCGGGUCCUCUCGCAUGAUCUCGCAUGUGGGUCUUGUAUUGACUAAGAUGGCAUUAAACUCACGCUGAAGAUCCCUCUGACGGUCCUGCCUUCAACUUCUGAGCUCCAGGACAAGGGGACACUGAGCCCCGGUGUCCACGCAUAAGGGCUGCCGGCUACAGAUGGACGGGCCAUUGAGUGUUCAGCUCUUCGCACCCUUAGAGCAUCUGUGGAGUGGAGCGAAGUGGAUUGGAGAGUCUCUCCCCAGUACACUUACUCCUAAGCCCCAGGCCUGCAAGCAUGACCCUAUUAAGUGUCCACAGAGGCCAUUAAGGAUCUUGAGAUGUGACCAUCUUGAAUGAGGACAGACUAAUCUACUGCCAGUGUCUAAAAGAGAAAGCCCUGAGCCAGAUAUAAGGAGAAGGCUACAUGAGACCCACGAAGACCAGAGAAGUGUACCAUAAGCAGGGACACCCGGGAGCCACCAGGAGCUGGAGAGGUGAGGGGGGGGCUCCUGUGGCCUGUGCCGUUCCCUCACAUCCUGGGUCCUCAGAGCCCUGUGUAACUCGAGGGUUCCUCUUCUGGAUAACUCAUGCCCACCUAGCAGCUCCAGCAACCCUCUGCAACUGGGUGUCUAGCCCACUCCAGGCAGGCCCUAGUCAGCCUCCUUCGGGGAAAAGGCUACUCUGCAACCCAGUUUGACAGUGUUCUAGCUCGUUUCUCUGCUGCUCUGAUAAGGCACUGAUCAAAAGCAACUUGGGGAGGAGAGAGUUUAUUUGCCGUACACUUUGCGGUUAUAGUCCAUUGUUGAAGGGAACAGAGACAGCUAAGGAAUGGUGAUUACUUAUCAUGGACCACUCUGCUGGUUUCUAAACUAUAACCCAGGACCACCUACCUAGGGGUGGUGCCACCCAUCGUGGACUGGGCCGUCUCACAUCAAACAUCGAUCAAGGAAAUGAAAUGCCUCCACAGACUUGCCUAUAGCCAAUCUAAUGAAACAAUUUUCUUAGUUGACUCUAGUUUGGGUCAAUUUGACAAAAAAACAAAAAACAAAAACAAACAAACAAAAAAACAACAACAAAACAUAAAAACACUAAAAACUAACCAUGACAGACAUGGGGCAACUCUAGCGAAGACACAAGGGUCCUUGAGGGGUCACACAGCAACGGGCUUAGGGCAGACUGAAUCUAGCCAGUGGGCUCAGGUUGCACUCCUAGUCUGUGGUUACAAGCUGUUGCUGCCCUUACAGGCCCAGGCUCGGUGCAUGGUCCCCAGGCUGUCCUUUGCCAGCAUCUCUCCAAAUCAGGUCUAGCUCUCUUCAGGAAACCGUCCCUGGUCCAAGGCACUGUGGCUUCCUUGCUUCUAGCUCUAUAUAUAGCCUUGUGACUGCCACCUUGUCCUAGCUCGGGUUUUUGUUUGGUUUUGAGGGUUACCUCUCUUUCCCUGACGGUACUUCUUCCGGGACAUGAAGGGCAGGGUCACGUCUCGCUAGGUUCUGUGUAUCCCGACUGUGAACCUGGAGCCAGCCCAGGUGUGCUCCUUGUACCUGCUGUGCCAGCUGCAUCCUGUGCACAGCCCAGGACAGAAGACAGCACAAGAGCAUGGAUCGCAGGUUGUGACGCUCAGUGACCGCAGUGUGCCAGCCGUGUGCUGGGCUCUCUGGACUCAGGACCCAGUGACGACACAGGCAGCCACGGCAGUGCUGACCCAGGUUGGGACAUUCAGGGCUAGAUCCUCACAUUGCUGGGGUGGGCUGGGAACUCUGCUGCCUCCCAGGGUUGGGAGAUGUGGCUUCCCACUGUCUCAGUAGCCACAGUCCAUCGCAGUAGCCAAUUGCAAAUGUGAAUUUCUCAGGAGUCUGUGAACCAGCACCCGCUCGGUUAUUUGACUCACCCAAGUAUUGUCACCUGCUAAUUAUAAUUAAAUCUUUCACAAGCUG
Long non-coding RNA from Peromyscus californicus insignis, 1999 nucleotides. RefSeq lists it as uncharacterized. The transcript has 3 exons. The record is from RefSeq and is a predicted model, not a curated record. NCBI's taxonomy places the organism in Eukaryota, Metazoa, Chordata, Mammalia, Rodentia, Cricetidae.